CCUACGGGACGCAGCAGUGGGGAAUAUUGCACAAUGGGCGCAAGCCUGAUGCAGCCAUGCCGCGUGUACGAAGAAGGCCUUCGGGUUGUAAAGUACUUUCAGCGGGGAGGAAGGUGUUAUGGUUAAUAACCUCAGCAAUUGACGUUACCCGCAGAAGAAGCACCGGCUAACUCCGUGCCAGCAUCCGCGGUAAUACGGAGGGUGCAAGCGUUAAUCGGAAUUACUGGGCGUAAAGCGCACGCAGGCGGUCUGUCAAGUCGGAUGUGAAAUCCCCGGGCUCAACCUGGGAACUGCAUUCGAAACUGGCAGGCUAGAGUCUUGUAGAGGGGGGUAGAAUUCCAGGUGUAGCGGUGAAAUGCGUAGAGAUCUGGAGGAAUACCGGUGGCGAAGGCGGCCCCCUGGACAAAGACUGACGCUCAGGUGCGAAAGCGUGGGGAGCAAACAGGAUUAGAUACCCGGGUAGUC
This 465-nucleotide ribosomal RNA is filed under the name uncultured bacterium. Its description in RNAcentral is "bacterial SSU rRNA". It matches the Rfam family "Bacterial small subunit ribosomal RNA", at positions 338 to 795 of the family's 1533-position model. The record is from RNAcentral.